UGUGGGAGCGAGCUUGCUCGCGAUGGCGGUAUGUCAGUCAUCCUGGAUGCUGGAUGUGCCGACGCUAUCGCGAGCAAGCUCGCUCCCACA
RNAcentral lists this unclassified non-coding RNA (90 nucleotides) under Pseudomonas brassicacearum. Lineage: Bacteria; Pseudomonadati; Pseudomonadota; Gammaproteobacteria; Pseudomonadales; Pseudomonadaceae. The record is from RNAcentral.